This is a long non-coding RNA of Engraulis encrasicolus (European anchovy), 350 nucleotides long. RefSeq lists it as uncharacterized. Lineage: Eukaryota; Metazoa; Chordata; Actinopteri; Clupeiformes; Engraulidae. The transcript has 3 exons. The record is from RefSeq and is a predicted model, not a curated record.
UAGAAGAAGAGACCUAUUACCAAGUCUUCCAUACUGUUGUUAGCCUUGAGGAUGCUGCUUAUGAGCGCUUUGAAGAGGCAUUGAAGAAUUUCGUUGACACGCCAAUCACGGAUGGAAGCAAAAAAAUCGCUCAGAUUAAUAUCGCAAAAGAUUGCAGACCUACCUCAGAUUCCACUAUACCCAAUUGCAAAUGUCUUAAAGACUUUAAGUUUGAUGAUAAUGGAAAUGAAUGUGUCCCUGAGAAAAGAGUUUCCAUCGAAGGACAAGUACUUUUUGAAGAAGAGGACUACCACAAUGCAUAUGAAAAUCCUAAUUCCGCGAAGUUUAUGGAGAAGAAAGGCAUAUACGAA